This 4041-nucleotide small RNA is filed under the name Pongo abelii (Sumatran orangutan). Its description in RNAcentral is "processed transcript". The record is from RNAcentral. Lineage: Eukaryota; Metazoa; Chordata; Mammalia; Primates; Hominidae.
GGCUGAGCGGGGUCCAAAACAUUGCUGACCACCCUGAAAGCAGGACUUGACCUUGGGCUGUUUGAGGACAGAUGUCCUUCACUGGUUGUGGUGGUACGUGCCUGUAGUCCCAGCUACUCAGGAAGCUGAGGCAGGAGAAUCGCUUGAACCUGGGAGGCGGAGGUUUCAGUGAGCCGAGAUCUGGCCACUGCACUCCAGCCUGGCGGCAGAGCGAGACUCCAUCAAAAAAAAAAAAAAAGCUAGUGCAAACGUGGCAGUCUUUCAGCUCAGCCCUGCAGAAAAGAAAGUGAUUUUCCCAGGAACUCUUAUCUUAUGUAGUCUGAACUUUUCCGCAGAGCUGUCUGGUAGUGUCGUAGCCGUGACGGAGAAGGCCAUGGGGGCCUGGAAUCUCCUUGCUGUGCUCUGCGGCCCCAGCCCUCUGUGGACGCGUGAUGCAAGAGUUUUUAAAGAGUAACUUUCUUUUGUCCUUCUUUAUGAUACAGACCCCAGUCCCUCCUUUAAAAUACCGGCUUGUGCUGUAAUUUCAACUUUGCCUUUUGCCCUUUGACCAUCUGUGUGACAAGAAAGCCAUUCCGAUGGUUCAGUAGGCACCCGCUGAGGCUGGGUCCCCACAGAUCCUGCUUGAGGUGCUGGUGGGGACAGCCCGCCCUCUGCUGUGUGCCGUGAUCCCAGCUGGAGCUGCUGCACAUCCAGAGGGAGCCGCCUCAGUCACACUCCAGCAGACAGGUGCAAAUGGAGUGAUGCAGACAGAGAGAAAGCAAAUCACACCUCAAGAUUUAUUUUCUUUCUAGAAACACCCGUCGGGCAGCAGAGGUCUGGAUGGAUGAAUACAAAAAUUUCUAUUAUGCAGCAGUGCCUUCCGCUAGAAACGUUCCUUAUGGAAACAUUCAGAGCAGAUUGGAGCUUAGGAAGAAACUCAGCUGCAAGCCUUUCAAAUGGUACCUUGAAAAUGUCUAUCCAGAGUUAAGGGUUCCAGACCAUCAGGAUAUAGCUUUUGGGGCUUUGCAGCAGGGAACUAACUGCCUCGACACUUUGGGACACUUUGCUGAUGGUGUGGUUGGAGUUUAUGAAUGUCACAAUGCUGGGGGAAACCAGGAAUGGGCCUUGACGAAGGAGAAGUCGGUGAAGCACAUGGAUUUGUGCCUUACUGUGGUGGACCGGGCACCGGGCUCUCUUAUAAAGCUGCAGGGCUGCCGAGAAAAUGACAGCAGACAGAAAUGGGAACAGAUCGAGGGCAACUCCAAGCUGAGGCACGUGGGCAGCAACCUGUGCCUGGACAGUCGCACGGCCAAGAGCGGGGGCCUGAGCGUGGAGGUGUGUGGGCCAGCCCUUUCGCAGCAGUGGAAGUUCUCGCUCAACCUGCAGCAGUAGGAGGGUCCGGGAGGCCCUGCCGUCCUGUCUCCUGCACCAUCGGGUGGAGUCUGGUGAUCACAUUAUUGAUUAUGUUUCUUAAACUUUCUGCGAAACUAAUAUACCUCAGUAUUCCAUCAUGGUCUGAAAGUCGAACUUCGGCAAGGCACGGACGACUGUGCAGACACAGCAGCGGCAAGAAGCGAGAACUGCCCUCCCCCUCCUCUCGGUGCAGCCCAGCCGGGCCCCCUUCCCCAGGCCGGAGCGCCCCUCUUCCUUCCAGCUUUCACUUCGGCCGGCUCUGCAACUGAGUGACACCCAGUGACAACCGACCGGGGAGUGGUAGAAGCAACUGAACGGACACGUGCGAGCUGAGGACAGGGCGGGAGGAGGGGGCACGCGUGCCCCAGGGGAGCGAGAACUCUUGAAAUCUCCAUUUUCGAUCCCAUCGAAAUCACGUAUGGUUUCCACAAAGCCGAGUCAUGUCACGUGGCAGGUUUACGUCGAUAGUCCCUCUCUCUGCUCCUCCGUUCCCAGGUGUCUUCCUGGACCAGACUCCCCUCCACCUGAUGUACUUGCUAUAUUGAGGAUGAAGUUUUCUAUGGUGGGACACUAAAUAUAAAGCUCUAUAGAGAAAGAAUGUACGGUCAGUUCCCUAUGGUUUCUGUAGGUCAUCAUCAUCUUGUAAAUUCCCCACAAAGCCGUUCGCAGCUUCCGGGAGAAGGGGCCAGAGCCCGGUGGGGCCAGUUUCUCACGGAGGGAGGAGGUGGCCUUUGUCCCCUGGAGCCCGAUCAGCCAGUUGGUGCUACUGCUGUGGCCAGCUGGGGGGCUUCCUCCAGACCACCGGCCUCGGCCCCGGCAUCCCUGUUGGGCGUCAGUCAACCUGAGAGUCACUACUGUGUGUCAGAAUCCACUUUGCGUGUUGUGCGUAUCUGUGAACCUGGAGGGGUUACUUAUUUUGACAGAUAUCACUUUGGGUCUUUUUACAUUAAAUUUCUUUUCUCUAAGGAAUAUAAGACAUACCCCAUAGCUCUCAGUGUGAGCCAGCGAUACCGCUGCACCCUGGCGACAGGGCACACCAAUGAUGCCAGGCAGCUGUCACACGCUAGCAUUGGCCUCAUUGUGAUCUGAGGCCUGCACGCUAGGUCUUCAGAAUUAAUGGCCAGCAGUGUCAGGGGUGAGCCUGUCAGCCUGGGCACAGGCCUGGCUCACAGUCCUGCACACCUGCUGGCCUGGGGAGCUCCAGCCAGGCAGCGAGUCCUGCCCCGCCCGCAGCCCCCUCCCACACCCAACCUGGCCAAGGUGACUGCUUCAGGGGGCUUUGGGGAAAGAAUUAGGGAGGGUCAGAACCAAACAAUGCCUACUCAUUUACGCUGAGGAUUCAGGGCAGGACACAGGAGCCUUGGGGUCCUGUUAAACCACAGAUGGUUAUGAACUGAAAGUCAUAACGGGGAGAGGUGCCUGGCGUCUGCCUGGGUGCUCAGGAAUGUUCCUCGUCACCCCUGCCACUCUGUGGUCGGUGCCCUGCUUCCUCCUCCACUCCCGGCCGCCUUCUCCAGCGCCACACACACAGAUGCUCAGUCUCAGAGAGGCUGGCAUGGCUGGCAGUCUGAGAAAAGCGUCAGAUAGGCACACCUGCAGGCUCCUCGGAGGGACAGCGGCGGCCUUGGAGUUAGGAGCCGUCCUGGGAGGUUGUGCCAGUGCCAUGCUCCUCCCUGUGUCUUGUACGAAAGGGGCCACUGUGUGUCUUCCUCCCCGGCAGGGGCCCCACGGGUGUGCACUAUAGGACAGCGGCCCCGAGGUGGAAGCCUGGCUGGAGGGCUGCUCUGUAGGUCUUCUCUUCCCGCCUCCCCUGCUGCGCAACCAGAUGUGUUCUGAGUGGGCAGCGUGGCCCCACGCUGGAGUAACUCCGCACGCUUCCGUCUUUCACGGUGGGCGCUUGGGGGGAGCCUGAGGAAAACCCCCUUAGGUACCUGUGCGAGGCUGUGGAAUGCAGGCCAGAGCAGGGCGUGCUUAGCCCCCAGCACCCAGGUUCUUUUGUCAGACCCUGUCACCUGCGAGCUGCUACUACUGUAAGGAGGGAAAAAAAAUUGAUGAAUCUGGCUUGUUUUAAAAUCACGUUUUUUGAUGAAUCCUUUGCCCCCACACCUUUACCCCGCCCGCACCCCUAGGCCCUCUCAGCCUUCGUAUCAUCGGAUGUGUCUACCCAGACCCUUGUGCGGCCCAUGCCCUGGGGGGCAGCGUCCUGUCCCUGAGCUGGGGGGCGGCUUUGGAUGGUCUGGGCGUCAAGAGCAGGGGUGGGCUGGGGAGGGGUCCUUUGCGGUGAGCUAUGUUUACAUGACACAGUGUGCCAAAGUGACUUACUGUGGUUGCGUUAUUUUUUAGUCAUCAGGACUAUCUCACCCUCCCACUCCUGUUUUUAAAACUCAGAAUUCUUUCCUAAGAGCCCUUCGAGCAAAGCGUGCCGAAGUUAGUUGUCCUCUCUGUGGUGGUCCUUUCUUAUGUCUUCAUAAAAGCUCAGAUGAUGGUAUCUGUGAGUAUGUUUUGCAAAUUCAAAAUAUAGUUUGGUAAUUUUUUUUUCCAGUUGAUUUUUAAAAAGAACUGCUGUACAGAGCUUGUACUUUGUCCAUUUUAUAGAUGGAAACCAUCCUUGAAAAUUGUUUAACUUAAAUAAAGAGAAGAUACUUUCUA